Molecule: ribosomal RNA, 253 nt
Filed under: uncultured bacterium
Lineage: Bacteria
Description: partial 16S ribosomal RNA
Rfam family: Bacterial small subunit ribosomal RNA
Source: RNAcentral
UACGGGGGGGGCAAGCGUUGUCCGGAAUUACUGGGCGUAAAGAGCUCGUAGGUGGUUUGUCGCGUUGUUCGUGAAAACUCACAACUCAAUUGCGGGCGUGCGGGCGAUACGGGCAGACUGGAGUACUGCAGGGGAGACUGGAAUUCCUGGUGUAGCGGUGGAAUGCGCAGAUAUCAGGAGGAACACCGGUGGCGAAGGCGGGUCUCUGGGCAGUAACUGACGCUGAGGAGCGAAAGCGUGGGGAGCGAACAGG